UUUUUUAAUUGAAAACUGGGAUGAAAGGUAGAGACUUUAAAAGAUAGUUUUAUUAUAUAAUUUUGAAAUUUAAUUAGAAGUAAAAAUGCUUUUUUAAAUCUUGGGGACGAGAAGACCCUAAAAGCUUAAAAUUGUAUAAUUUUUAAUUGGGGCAAUUGAUGAAGAAAAAAAUUUUUAUAGAAUAAAUAUAAUGGAAAUAAAGUUACUUUAGGGAUAACAGCGUAAUUUAAUUAGCAAGUUCUUAUUAAAAAUUAGGGUUGCGACCUCGAUGUUGAAUUAAAAUAAAUAUUUGGUGAAGGAGCUAAAAUAUUUGGUCUGUUCGACCAUUAAAAUUUUACGUGAUCUGAGU
RNAcentral lists this ribosomal RNA (349 nucleotides) under Manaosbiidae sp. MZSP 73048. Its description in RNAcentral is "partial large subunit ribosomal RNA". The stretch from base 73 to 349 matches the Rfam family "Bacterial large subunit ribosomal RNA", at positions 2046 to 2610 of the family's 2925-position model. The record is from RNAcentral. Lineage: Eukaryota; Metazoa; Arthropoda; Arachnida; Opiliones; Manaosbiidae.